AGGACGAACGCUGGCGGCGUGCCUAAAACAUGCAAGUCGAACGGGGUAGCAAUACCUAGUGGCGAACGGCGGAGUAAUACUUAAGCAACGUGCCCUGAAGACUGGGAUAGUCAUUGGAAACGAUGGGUAAUACCGGAUGUGGCGAUUGGGAGGCAUCUCUUGAUCACUAAAUGGUUUUUCGCUUCAGGAGCGGCUUAUGGCCUAUCAGGUAGUUGGUGGGGUAAUGGCCUACCAAGCCGACGACGGGUAGCGGGUCUGAGAGGAUGAUCCGCUCGAGUGGGACUGAGACACGGCCCACACACCUACGGGUGGCAGCAGUUGGGAAUCUUGCACAAUGGGGGAAACCCUGAUGCAGCGACGCCGCGUGGAGGAUGAAGGAUCUAGGUCUGUAAACUCCUUUUUCAGGGUAAAGACUUAGGACGGUACCCUGAGAAUAAGCACCGGCUAACUACGUGCCAGCAGCCGC
This 466-nucleotide ribosomal RNA is filed under the name uncultured bacterium. Its description in RNAcentral is "SSU rRNA". It matches the Rfam family "Bacterial small subunit ribosomal RNA", at positions 26 to 518 of the family's 1533-position model. The record is from RNAcentral.